AGGGAAAUAGCUCAGUGGUAGAGCGCAUGCUUAGCAUGCACAAGGUCCUGGGUUCAACCCCCAGUACCUCCA
RNAcentral lists this transfer RNA (72 nucleotides) under Camelus bactrianus (Bactrian camel). It matches the Rfam family "tRNA". From Rfam's summary of the family: Transfer RNA (tRNA) molecules are approximately 80 nucleotides in length. Their secondary structure includes four short double-helical elements and three loops (D, anti-codon, and T loops). RNAcentral also lists the same sequence under 2 other names. The record is from Rfam by way of RNAcentral. Lineage: Eukaryota; Metazoa; Chordata; Mammalia; Artiodactyla; Camelidae.